AGUGUGACAGUGGCGAGGAAAAACUCCUUUUAGGAAGAAACCUCGGUGAUGAGAAAAAAUUCCUUUUAGGGAAAAACCUCGGACAGACCCAGGCUCUUGGUAGGCACUGUCUGACGGUGCCAAAAGUUAUAAAAUUAUUUAUUUAUUAUUUAACUUUUGGUCAGGUCCAUCUGGAGAUGCUGCGUACCAGGUUUCGUGAAGAUCGGUCGCAUGGCCUAGGAGUUCAAAAAAGUUAGUUUUUCACAUUUAUUAUUAUAUUGCGAUAUUGCGAAAAAACUUCUUAGCAGAAAUGGGCAUGGCCUAUAUAAUCAGAUUCAGCUAGAUUCAAGGAACACGUGGAUGUAAGGGUUUCUAAUGUGCGAUGUGUAAUGUGGGAGUUAUAGGCAAAAACACGUUUGACGUCAUUAUAGAGCCACCUAGUGGUCCAUAUGUGUAAUUUUUGGUAUGUGAGGUCCAUGAACCAUUGUACAUCAACAAAUAUAAAUUUGAAGUUGCUCACAUUAGUCUAAAGCCUUAUUCGCACGGGAUAAGUAUUAUCUAGGGACCUCGUGUGAAUUAUAAAUUACCCACCCACGUCUGAUUUUCAUCUGGCGCAUUCGAACGGAAUAAGCGAAGCCUGUGAUUUUACUCGAAUGUACUGACAUUAAGCAACAGUGGGACAUUAAGAAACAUGGGUGUCGGUAGCUCUGCUACGUGUGUUUGUGUGUGGUCAGAUCUCGAGGACACACACGUGCACAAUCUCAACCGGGUAGUCAGUCAUCGUCCGAACUGCGACCUCUCCUUUUUCUUUCUCUCACUUUUUUCUCCGGAUGGUGUCAAGCAGGGUCCGGUUAGAUGGAUAAAACAAAACAUUUCACCACGUUAAAAUCUAUUAGCUCAAGCUUUACGCUUGAUUUAUUUGUAACAUUAACCUCUAAUUAUGAAGUGAGCCCCCUCGCUUGAUUGUGCAUUAUUUUUGAUAAGCUAUUGCUUGGAGAUGUCUUGUCGUUAUCUCUAGAUGUAUGAUACAAACAUAAAAAAUAUACUUACCGCAUGCUGCUAUACAUAUCAUCCAUCGCCAUCUAAUCAUUCUUUUUGUCUUCACACUUGUGGUGGUUUUCAUCUUUCUCUUUUUGCAAAAGUGUAUAUGAUGUAUAUGACGACAUGACCCAGCACCCAAAACACUGUCAAAACACUCCAACGCACCCUCCAUUCUUCGCGAAAGAUGGAUAAAAAGGCGCAAAAGAAGGAAAUAGGUACCUUGAAAAAACCAAAAAGCCCCGCCAAAUCCUGGACAAAUCAGAGAUGCCGAUUCGCACGGGACUAAUAUUAUCACAGGACCUCCGUUUUCGGCGAAAUAUGGUAGGUCAUUUGCGGGGGAAUUAUUACUUUACAAAUUACAGACAUGACCGAUUCGCACGGGAUUAAGAUCACAGACAACCUCCGCAAUUAUUACAAAUGACUGGAGGUCACCAGGUAAUACUUAUAGGUGGAAGAGGUGAAAAAGAGGGGGCAGGACGUUAAAUGGCAUACUAAAGAAAAAGUUGCAUUUAACCGGGCACAGGCCAGGAAAACUGGUGCAGGUCUCCCAGAAGUAUGCAAAUUGACCACAAUUGAAGAGGUUGUGCAGCAAACGCUGGUUGCUGAACAGGUGGAAGGAAUCGAUACUGCGGAGACCACAUUAGAAAAUUAAGCAAGCACAUCUUCAAAUGUUGGUGCUACUGCACCGACAUUCUUUGAACCUUCUACCUCGUCUCUACCGCCUGCGACCGCACGUAGGAUGAACAUGGUGGAUGACCUGGAUGAAAUGCUCUUAACUGAGCAAAGGAGCCAAACGAGGGUGCUACAAAAGAUUUCGUCGGAUGUGCAGCAGAUGCAUGGGCAUUUCCAUCAGGGCUAUGAGGCGCAACAGUCAGCAGGCAUGACCGGAACCACCAACCUUGUGCCACCCAGCCCUGUGCCAUCCCGACCUGGGCCACCCAGACCUGUCCCAUCUCCAACUGUACCGACGCGUAGUCUCAGAAAAACAAAAAUGAAGUCUGAACAAACAGUGAGAUAAACCAGCUGCCAGAGGGAGAUAAUAAAUAUCAAACAUUUGGAAAACGCAAUUGUUUCUAUCUGGGUUAUUUGUGUAAUAUUUUUCUCCAU
Perca flavescens (yellow perch) is the source of this 2127-nucleotide long non-coding RNA. RefSeq lists it as uncharacterized. Lineage: Eukaryota; Metazoa; Chordata; Actinopteri; Perciformes; Percidae. The transcript is spliced from 3 exons. The record is from RefSeq and is a predicted model, not a curated record.